This 469-nucleotide ribosomal RNA is filed under the name uncultured bacterium. RNAcentral's name for it is "bacterial SSU rRNA". It matches the Rfam family "Bacterial small subunit ribosomal RNA", at positions 33 to 518 of the family's 1533-position model. The record is from RNAcentral.
ACGCUGGCGGCGUGCCUAACACAUGCAAGUCGAGCGAGGAGAUUCCUUCGGGAUGAUCCUAGCGGCGGACGGGUGAGUAACACGUGGGCAACCUGCCUCAUAGAGAGGAAUAGCCUUCCGAAAGGGAGAUUAAUACCUCAUAACAUUGCAGUUUCGCAUGGAACAGCAAUUAAAGGAGCAAUCCGCUAUGAGAUGGGCCCGCGGCGCAUUAGCUAGUUGGUGAGGUAACGGCUCACCAAGGCGACGAUGCGUAGCCGACCUGAGAGGGUGAUCGGCCACAUUGGGACUGAGACACGGCCCAGACUCCUACGGGAGGCAGCAGGUGGGAAUAUUGCACAAUGGGGGAAACCCUGAUGCAGCCAACGCCGCGUGAGUGAUGACGGCCUUCGGGUUGUAAAGCUCUGUCUUCAGGGACGAUAAUGACGGUACCUGAGGAGGAAGCCACGGCUAACUACGUGCCAGCAGCUGC